AUUGAACGCUGGCGGCGUGGCUAAAGCAUGCAAGUCGUACGUGCCCGCAAGGGCAAGUGGCGGACGGGUCAGUAAUACGAUCGAACGUACCCUGAGGUGGAGGAUAGCGGCGGGAAACUGCCGGUAAUACUCCAUGAUCUCUCCGGAGCAAAGGGCAACCGCCUUUGGAUCGGCGAUCGUCCUAUCAGCUAGUUGGCGGGGUAACGGCCCACCAAGGCGAUGACGGGUAGCAGGUGUGAGAGCAUGACCUGCGACAUCGGGACUGAGACACUGCCCGGACUCCUACGGGAGGCUGCAGCGACGAAUCUUCCGCAAUGGGCGCAAGCCUGACGGAGCGACGCCGCGUGUGGGAUGAAGCGCCUCCGGCGUGUAAACCACUGUCAGGGGCGGAACCAAUGAUCGCCCCCAAAGGAAGAGACGGCUAACCCUGUGCCAGCAGCCGCGGUAAGACAGGGGUCUCGAGCGUUAAUCGGAAUCACUGGGCUUAAAGGGU
Molecule: ribosomal RNA, 493 nt
Filed under: uncultured bacterium
Lineage: Bacteria
Description: bacterial SSU rRNA
Rfam family: Bacterial small subunit ribosomal RNA
Source: RNAcentral